GAUGAACGCUGGCGGCGUGCUUAACACAUGCAAGUCGAACGGAAAGGCUCCUUUUUGCAGGUGUACUCCAGUUGCUCACGGGUGAGUAACACGUGGGUCAUCUGCCCUGCACUUCGGCAUCAUCCUUGUAAGCUUGGUCUACUACCUGUUAUUCCCAUUGUUUGUAUGCCAUUGUGGCUAGUUUUUCGGUGUGUGAUGAGCUCGCUGGCUAUCAGCUUGUUGGUGGUGUAAUGGCUUACGAAGGCGUCGACGGGUAGCCGGCCUGAGGGGGUGUACGGCGACAUUGGGAAGGAGAUACGGGCAAGAAUCAGACGGGAGGAAGCAGUGAGGAAUAGUGGACAAAGGGAGCAAGGCUGAGGCAGCGACGACGGGUGGGGGAUGACGAACUUCGGGUGGUAGACUCCUUGCGCUAGGGUCGAAGCGGAAGUGACGGUACUUGGAGAAGAAGCACCGGCUAACUACGUG
This 465-nucleotide ribosomal RNA is filed under the name uncultured bacterium. RNAcentral's name for it is "partial 16S ribosomal RNA". It matches the Rfam family "Bacterial small subunit ribosomal RNA", at positions 28 to 507 of the family's 1533-position model. The record is from RNAcentral.